Molecule: ribosomal RNA, 497 nt
Filed under: uncultured bacterium
Lineage: Bacteria
Description: partial 16S ribosomal RNA
Rfam family: Bacterial small subunit ribosomal RNA
Source: RNAcentral
GAUGAACGCUGGCGGCGUGCCUAAUACAUGCCAGUCGAGCGAACAGACGAGGAGCUUGCUCCUCUGACGUUAGCGGCGGACGGGUGAGUAACACGUGGAUAACCUACCUAUAAGACUGGGAUAACUUCGGGAAACCGGAGCUAAUACCGGAUAAUAUAUUGAACCGCAUGGUUCUAUAGUGAAAGACGGUUUUGCUGUCACUUAUAGAUGGACCCGCGCCGCAUUAGCUAGUUGGUAAGGUAACGGCUUACCAAGGCAACGAUGCGUAGCCGACCUGAGAGGGUGAUCGGCCACACUGGAACUGAGACACGGUCCAGACUCCUACGGGAGGCAGCAGUAGGGAAUCUUCCGCAAUGGGCGAAAGCCUGACGGAGCAACGCCGCGUGAGUGAUGAAGGUCUUCGGAUCGUAAAACUCUGUUAUUAGGGAAGAACAAAUGUGUAAGUAACUAUGCACGUCUUGACGGUACCUAAUCAGAAAGCCACGGCUAACUACGUG